AGCGAACGCUGGCGGCAGGCCUAACACAUGCAAGUCGAGCGGGCACUUCCGGUUGUCAGCGGCGUACGGGUGAGUAACCCGUUGGAACGUGCCCUCUGGUUCGGAAUAACUCCGGGAAACUUUAGCUAAUACCUGAUACUCCCUUUUGCUGACAGCCUUGCUGCCGAAGGAUCGGGCCGCCCCUGACUAGCUAGUCGGUGAGGUAACCCCUCACUAAGGCGACGAUCUGUAGCUGGUCUGAGAGGCUGCUCAGCCACGCUGGGACUAUGACACGGCCCAGACUCCUCCGGCAUGCAGCAGUGGGGAAUAUUGGACACUGGGCGCAGGCCUGAUCCAGCCGGGCCGGGUGAGUGAUGAAGGGCUUAGGGUUGUCAAGCUCUUUUAUCCGGGACGAUAAUGACGGUACCGGAGGAAUAAGCCCCGGCUAACUUCGUG
This 435-nucleotide ribosomal RNA is filed under the name uncultured bacterium. RNAcentral describes it as "partial 16S ribosomal RNA". It matches the Rfam family "Bacterial small subunit ribosomal RNA", at positions 29 to 507 of the family's 1533-position model. The record is from RNAcentral.